Molecule: ribosomal RNA, 317 nt
Filed under: uncultured Staphylococcus sp.
Lineage: Bacteria; Bacillati; Bacillota; Bacilli; Caryophanales; Staphylococcaceae
Description: bacterial SSU rRNA
Rfam family: Bacterial small subunit ribosomal RNA
Source: RNAcentral
GAUGAACGCUGGCGGCGUGCCUAAUACAUGCAAGUCGAGCGAACAGAUAAGGAGCUUGCUCCUUUGACGUUAGCGGCGGACGGGUGAGUAACACGUGGGUAACCUACCUAUAAGACUGGAAUAACUCCGGGAAACCGGGGCUAAUGCCGGAUAACAUGUUGAACCGCAUGGUUCUACAGUGAAAGGCGGCUUUGCUGUCACUUAUAGAUGGACCCGCGCCGUAUUAGCUAGUUGGUGAGGUAACGGCUCACCAAGGCAACGAUACGUAGCCGACCUGAGAGGGUGAUCGGCCACACUGGAACUGAGACACGGUCCAG